RNAcentral lists this ribosomal RNA (497 nucleotides) under uncultured bacterium. Its description in RNAcentral is "partial 16S ribosomal RNA". It matches the Rfam family "Bacterial small subunit ribosomal RNA", at positions 28 to 507 of the family's 1533-position model. The record is from RNAcentral.
GAUGAACGCUGGCGGCGUGCCUAAUACAUGCAAGUCGAGCGAACAGACGAGGAGCUUGCUCCUCUGACGUUAGCGGCGGACGGGUGAGUAACACGUGGAUAACCUACCUAUAAGACUGGGAUAACUUCGGGAAACCGGAGCUAAUACCGGAUAAUAUAUUGAACCGCAUGGUUCAAUAGUGAAAGACGGUUUUGCUGUCACUUAUAGAUGGAUCCGCGCCGCAUUAGCUAGUUGGUAAGGUAACGGCUUACCAAGGCGACGAUGCGUAGCCGACCUGAGAGGGUGAUCGGCCACACUGGAACUGAGACACGGUCCAGACUCCUACGGGAGGCAGCAGUAGGGAAUCUUCCGCAAUGGGCGCAAGCCUGACGGAGCAACGCCGCGUGAGUGAUGAAGGUCUUCAGAUCGUAAAACUCUGUUAUUAGGGAAGAACAAAUGUGUAAGUAACUAUGCACGUCUUGACGGUACCUAAUCAGAAAGCCACGGCUAACUACGUG